RNAcentral lists this ribosomal RNA (435 nucleotides) under uncultured Clostridium sp. Its description in RNAcentral is "partial 16S ribosomal RNA". It matches the Rfam family "Bacterial small subunit ribosomal RNA", at positions 341 to 792 of the family's 1533-position model. The record is from RNAcentral. Lineage: Bacteria; Bacillati; Bacillota; Clostridia; Eubacteriales; Clostridiaceae.
ACGGGAGGCAGCAGUCGGGAAUUUUGCGCAAUGGAGGAAACUCUGACGCAGUGACGCCGCGUGCAGGAAGAAGGUUUUCGGAUUGUAAACUGCUUUAGACAGGGAAGAAACAAGACAGUACCUGUAGAAUAAGCUCCGGCUAACUACGUGCCAGCAGCCGCGGUAAUACGUAGGGAGCAAGCGUUAUCCGGAUUUACUGGGUGUAAAGGGAGCGUAGACGGUUUGGCAAGUCUGAAGUGAAAUGCGGGGGCUCAACUCCUGAACUGCUUUGGAAACUGUCGAACUAGAGUGCAGGAGAGGUAAGUGGAAUUCCUAGUGUAGCGGUGAAAUGCGUAGAUAUUAGGAGGAACACCAGUGGCGAAGGCGGCUUACUGGACUGUAACUGACGUUGAGGCUCGAAAGCGUGGGGAGCAAACAGGAUUAGAUACCCUGGUA